CCGACGGUGAGGGGCGAAAGCUGGGGGAGCAAACCGGAUUAGAUACCCGGGUAGUCCCAGCUGUAAACUAUGCAAACUCAGUGAUGCAUUGGCUUGUGGCCAAUGCAGUGCUGCAGGGAAGCCGUUAAGUUUGCCGCCUGGGAAGUACGUACGCAAGUAUGAAACUUAAAGGAAUUGGCGGGGGAGCACCACAAGGGGUGAAGCCUGCGGUUCAAUUGGAGUCAACGCCAGAAAUCUUACCCGGAGAGACAGCAGAAUGAAGGUCAAGCUGAAGACUUUACCAGACAAGCUGAGAGGUGGUGCAUGGCCGUCGCCAGCUCGUGCCGUGAGAUGUCCUGUUAAGUCAGGUAACGAGCGAGAUCCCUGCCUCUAGUUGCCACCAUUACUCUCAGGAGUAGUGGGGCGAAUUAGCGGGACCGCCGCAGUUAAUGCGGAGGAAGGAAGGGGCCACGGCAGGUCAGUAUGCCCCGAAACUCUGGGGCCACACGCGGGCUGCAAUGGUAACGACAAUUGGUUUCGAAUCCGAAAGGAUGAGGUAAUCCUCAAACGUUACCACAGUUAUGACUGAGGGCUGCAACUCGCCCUCACGAAUAUGGAAUCCCUAGUAACUGCGUGUCAUUAUCGCGCGGUGAAUACGUCCCUGCUCCUUGCACACACCGCCCGU
Molecule: ribosomal RNA, 664 nt
Filed under: uncultured archaeon
Lineage: Archaea
Description: bacterial SSU rRNA
Rfam family: Archaeal small subunit ribosomal RNA
Source: RNAcentral